This 711-nucleotide long non-coding RNA is filed under the name Rattus norvegicus (Norway rat). Its description in RNAcentral is "long non-coding RNA NONRATT002656". Lineage: Eukaryota; Metazoa; Chordata; Mammalia; Rodentia; Muridae. The record is from RNAcentral.
AGAAAUCAUAUAAACACACACACACACACACAAAUUAAGCUGCUGUGUCUAUCUAUGUAACUCUGCAGAAUGUUCUCAGACUCAACAACAACAAGUGCUCUCAAAUCCCAACACCGAAUCACUGUUCUACAAACUGCCCAGGGCACAGUAACCAAACUACAUCACACACUCUCCCCGGUAGACAUUACCCGCCCCGCCCCCACCUCCCACUCUCCAUUUCUAAACCUGCCCUCUUCCCUAACUCCUCCAAACUGCAGGGUGAAACGCACAGCAGCAAACGCCCCCGCCGCGGCCAAUCAGAGAUUGCCGCACACCUCUGCCAUGGCCAAUCCACAGCAGCCUUGCAGUUCCACCCCCUUACCUGGGGUGUGGGGAAGUUGCUGCGCCCCGCGCCCAACCUGGGGAGUGUCCAGAGCCUGCUCCUCCCCAUCACACCCCCGCGGUGUCCUUCAGCCCCAAAACAAGCAAUACAAAUGCCAGCCUCCUCCCUCUGACCCACUUGUCUCAACUCUAAGACGCCGCAUGGCGCUCAGGAUUCUUCUGCCAGCCACUGUCACUACCGCACUGGCAAAGAGAGCAAAACUCCUCUCCCCUAAGGGCCAAGAUUAAACGCAGGCGUAUUAUCUGCCAGUUACCUCUUUAUUUAAUUCUUCCCUGUGAGCCUUUUAAUUAGUACAAAGGUGAAGCGGAACUAUGUUCCCUGGAGACAGA